RNAcentral lists this ribosomal RNA (253 nucleotides) under uncultured bacterium. RNAcentral describes it as "partial 16S ribosomal RNA". It matches the Rfam family "Bacterial small subunit ribosomal RNA", at positions 524 to 776 of the family's 1533-position model. The record is from RNAcentral.
UACGUAGGGUGCGAGCGUUGUCCGGAAUUAUUGGGCGUAAAGGGCUCGUAGGCGGUUUGUCGCGUCGGGAGUGAAAACACCGGGCUUAACUCGGUGCUUGCUUUCGAUACGGGCAGACUAGAGGUAUGCAGGGGAGAACGGAAUUCCUGGUGUAGCGGUGGAAUGCGCAGAUAUCAGGAGGAACACCAGCGGCGAAGGCGGCGCUCUGGGCCGGUACUGACGCUGAGGAGCGAAAGCGUGGGGAGCAAACAGG